Molecule: long non-coding RNA, 446 nt
Organism: Epinephelus moara (kelp grouper)
Lineage: Eukaryota; Metazoa; Chordata; Actinopteri; Perciformes; Serranidae
Exons: 3
Source: RefSeq, a predicted model, not a curated record
CCCUCAGUGAGCUGUGUGAGGGCCUUCUGCUGUUUGUGACAACAAUCAAUGAUGUAACUGCAGCGUGUCUCUCAGCUCAAACUGUUCGGAAACUUUGAGGACGGCAGUGGGACACAGAGGCUGAGUGGACUGUUUUAGAGCCUGUCUUGCAAAGAGCAAGAAAAGAAGUUGGACCUAAUGCUGGAGCAGACUGAGGAGGACUUCGCGACGCACAAGGAUGCUGUUCAGAUUCAGACAGCCCAUGACCUGGAGAUUGAUUUCAGCGCAUCAUUUUGAAGGAUGUCCCAAUUCCCAAAAUGCAUCUUGAGGAGGGGGAAGGCCUGCCAGAAGAGCUAUGAGCCAGGAUGCACAGGUGUAGCUGAUACAUGACAGAGGCAUGACACAUAACAGGACUCUACAAAUGUGGGAGGGACUAAGACGCGAGAAGAGGAGGCGAGGAAAUGUGU